UGCAUGCGACUGUCUACACAUGCAGUCGAGCGGAACAUGGGACUUGUGCCCUGAUGUUGGCGACGGACGAGUGUAAACCUGUGCGGCCCUAUCUGUGGAAUGGGAUAACUCCAGGAAAACUCUUACCCUACCGGAUGGUUGAUUGGCCGCAUGAACCGCACGUGCUUGGUGGCUUCGGCUACCACAUAGAGAUGGACCCGCGUGGCGUUAUGUAGUUGGUGAGGUAACGGCUCACCACGGUGUGGAUGCGUAGCCGACCUGACAGGGUGAUCGGCCACACUGGGACUGACACACGGCCCAUACUCCUACGGGAGGCACCAGUAUGGAAUCUUCCGGAAUGAACGAAAGUCUGACUGAGCAUCUCCGCGUGAGUGAUAAAGGUUUUCGGAUCGUAAAGCUCUGUUGUUAAGGAAUAACAAGUGCCUUUCUGAUAAGGCGGCCCCUUGACGGUACCUAACCAAAAAGCCACGGCUAACUACGUGCCAGCAGACGCGGUAAUGCGUAGGUGGCAAGCGUUGUCCGGAAUUAUUGCGCGUGUAGGGCUCGCAGGUUGUUUCUUAAGUCUGAUGUUCAAGCCCCCCGCUCAACCUGGGAGGGUCAUUGGAUACUGGGGAACUUGAAUGCAGAAGAGGAUAUUGAAAUUCCACGUGUAGAUGUGUAAUGCAUACAGAUGUGGACGAACACCACUGUCGAACGCUACUCUCUCGUCUGUAACUGACGCUGAGGAGCGAAAGCGUGGAUGAGCGAACAUGAUUCUAUACCCUGACACUCCACACUAUACGCUAUGAGUGCUACUGUGUUCAGUAGUUUCCUCCCCUUAGUGCUGCGGCUAACUGCAUGAGUCACUGCGGCCUGGUUGAGUACAGUCGCAAUACUGAAGACUAAUCGCACCAUCACUGGGACGCAUGCUCGAGCGGUGGAUCAUAUCGCUUUAAUUCCUUAGCAACCCUAAGACACCGUUACGCAGGUCUUGACAUCAUACUGAACAAUGCCUAGAGAGUAGGGACCGUCCACCACUCGGGCGCCGAGGUGACAUGCUGGUGCACUGGGUUGUCGAUCAGUCUCGUGUCGGUGACCACUCAUAGGGGUAACGUCCCCCUCAUCGAUCCAGCUAGCCACUGUGAUCGGUUAG
This 1132-nucleotide ribosomal RNA is filed under the name Bacillus vallismortis. RNAcentral's name for it is "bacterial SSU rRNA". The stretch from base 1 to 932 matches the Rfam family "Bacterial small subunit ribosomal RNA". Lineage: Bacteria; Bacillati; Bacillota; Bacilli; Caryophanales; Bacillaceae. The record is from RNAcentral.